GCUCAGAUUGAACGCUGGCGGCAGGCCUAACACAUGCAAGUCGAACGGUAACAGGAAUCAGCUUGCUGAUUUGCUGACGAGUGGCGGACGGGUGAGUAAUGUCUGGGAAACUGCCUGAUGGAGGGGGAUAACUACUGGAAACGGUAGCUAAUACCGCAUAACGUCGCAAGACCAAAGAGGGGGACCUUCGGGCCUCUUGCCAUCGGAUGUGCCCAGAUGGGAUUAGCUAGUAGGUGGGGUAACGGCUCACCUAGGCGACGAUCCCUAGCUGGUCUGAGAGGAUGACCAGCCACACUGGAACUGAGACACGGUCCAGACUCCUACGGGAGGCAGCAGUA
This 338-nucleotide ribosomal RNA is filed under the name uncultured bacterium. RNAcentral describes it as "bacterial SSU rRNA". It matches the Rfam family "Bacterial small subunit ribosomal RNA", at positions 22 to 356 of the family's 1533-position model. The record is from RNAcentral.